GACGAACGCUGGCGGCGUGCUUAACACAUGCAAGUCGAACGGAAAGGCCUGCUUUCCCUUGUGGAUUGCGGGUACUCGAGUGGCGAACGGGUGAGUAACACGUGAGUGAUCUGCCCCCAACUUGGGUAUAAGCCUGGGAAACUGGGUCUAAUUCCCGAUAGGACUGCAGGGUGGUGCCUGUGGUGGAAAACGAUUUUCUAGUGGUUGGGGAUGAGCUCGCGGCCUAUCAGCUUGUUGGUGGGGGAAUGGCCUACCAAGGCGGCGACGGGUAGCCGGCCUGAGAGGGUGGACGGCCACAUUGGGACUGAGAUACGGCCCAGACUCCUACGGGAGGCAGCAGUGGGGAAUAUUGCACAAUGGGCGGAAGCCUGAUGCAGCGACGCCGCGGGGGGGAUGACGGCCUUCGGGUUGUAAACUCCUUUCGACCGCGAGGAAGCCACCUGGUUGGAAGGGUGGUGACGGUAGUGGGAGAAGAAGCACCGGCUAACUACGUG
Molecule: ribosomal RNA, 494 nt
Filed under: uncultured bacterium
Lineage: Bacteria
Description: partial 16S ribosomal RNA
Rfam family: Bacterial small subunit ribosomal RNA
Source: RNAcentral